CCCACACCCACCCACGCCUAUCCCGUUCCCCACCCCCUUCCUCAGCAGAUCCACCGCCGCCGCCUGCAAGGGCCCGUGCCCCUCCACGCCCGCGCUACCGCAAGCCCCCGCCCCCGCUGCCAGCCCUCGCCGCGAUGACAGCGCAGCUCCUCGCCUUCGUCGCCGAGGCCGUCGGCGAGGAGGACCGCCCCGCGGACCUCCCCGAGGAGCUCCUCGUCCUCGUCUUCGGCCCGCUUGGCUCCGACAACCGCAAGCCUUGCUCCCUCAUCUGCUGUCGCUGGCUCAACGUCGAGGCCGCCUCCCACGCCCGGGCGCCGCUCCUUUGUCUUCUCCACUAGUGCGGCCACCGCCCCUUGCUCCUUUGCCACUACCGCAAUUUCCUCUUCUGCGUCCACCCCCUUCCUCUCCUUUUCAUUCCUCUCUCAGAUCUAGAUCCACGGUGGCUGGCAAAGGUGGGUGACUACAAGCUGCGGGAGUGCCACAGCGGGCAUCCACCGUCCACGGCCGCGUGGCGAGCAGUGUUGAGGUCCACGGUCGCGCUUGUGGAUGUGAAGUAGGUGCGGCUCGCCGGCCUCCACACCACGCCAGCUCUUUCCCCUUCUUCCCUUCACACCGCUCUCUCCCUCCCCUCGCCCCUCCUCAGAUGCACCGCCUGCCGUUGCUCAGAUCCACCGCCUACUGCUGCUCAGAUCCACACACCGCUCCUCUCCCUAGCUAGCUCGAGGGCCACCUCCGCAUCCUCCUCCUCUCCCUCAUCCAGGUGCCUCGCAUCCACAGCUACUUCGAGCCCUAUGAAACGUGGUAGGAGGCAGCGGGACGGCAGCCACACGAGCAGGCAUUGGGGAUGGUGUGCGGCGCAGCGACGGCCGUGAUUUAUUUGUUGGCUCUGUUCCACCGCGCAUAGGCAAACCAGCAUUGGUGCGUGAUGCAUGGAGGCAGCUUCUCGAGUGCUGCAGUGAAGGCCCACUCGCUCCCCUUCAGCCACAGAUGCAGAAACUGGAGAUGGGAGAGAGGAGCUUCUUCAGCAUAGAGCGGCGGACGACGGAGGGGAUUAGACUACUGGUGAAGCAGUCGUCUCUACAAAGGAGGGUGAGUGGCGAGUGGCGGGCUUCGCGGCGCCGCUGGGCAGCGCGGGCAGACCCACCUGGGUCGCUCAUGAUUUGUGGGCUUGUGACACGGGUUACGCGGGUUUGCGGCGCGAGUUUAAUCAGCAGAACACGCUCACACAAAACUGAUGAUGGAGCCAGUCCAAGCCUUUUUGCUUCUAGAGGAUUAGGUCUGAGCACUGGUUUUUAUUGUCUGAUGUUUAGACGGUAAAACUGCUUUUGUAUAUGUUGUAAUUUGCUUGUAGUUAUUCAAAACUUUGCUUAUAUGUAACUGCUGAGUUGUAUUACCUGUAUUAGAAAGGUAGAAACCUCCAGAAGCAAGAGGGUAGUGGCGUGGGUUUGAAUCUAACGGGAAACAUACUAUUUUACUACUAUAAUUACUUAAUUAGUGUCGGGUCAGCUUUUGUUGUACUAAUCGAGAUGUUGUAUUAAAUAUAGAAAAUAAUUAUUUCUAUACCUGCACCUUUCCUAA
Panicum virgatum (switchgrass) is the source of this 1578-nucleotide long non-coding RNA. RefSeq lists it as uncharacterized. The record is from RefSeq and is a predicted model, not a curated record. Lineage: Eukaryota; Viridiplantae; Streptophyta; Magnoliopsida; Poales; Poaceae. The transcript has 3 exons.